This 484-nucleotide ribosomal RNA is filed under the name uncultured bacterium. RNAcentral's name for it is "partial 16S ribosomal RNA". It matches the Rfam family "Bacterial small subunit ribosomal RNA", at positions 30 to 507 of the family's 1533-position model. The record is from RNAcentral.
AUUGAACGCUGGCGGCAGGCCUAACACAUGCCAGUCGAGCGGAUGAAGGGAGCUUGCUCCUGGAUUCAGCGGCGGACGGGUGAGUAAUGCCUAGGAAUCUGCCUGGUCGUGGGGGAUAACGUCCGGAAACGGGCGCUAAUACCUCAUACGUCCUGAGGGAGAAAGUGGGGGAUCUUCGGACCUCACGCUAUCAGAUGAGCCUAGGUCGGAUUAGCUAGUUGGUGGGGUAAAGGCCUACCAAGGCGACGAUCCGUAACUGGUCUGAGAGGAUGAUCAGUCACACUGGAACUGAGACACGGUCCAGACUCCUACGGGAGGCAGCAGUGGGGAAUAUUGGACAAUGGGCGAAAGCCUGAUCCAGCCAUGCCGCGUGUGUGAAGAAGGUCUUCGGAUUGUAAAGCACUUUAAGUUGGGAGGAAGGGCAGUAAGUUAAUACCUUGCUGUUUUGACGUUACCAACAGAAUAAGCACCGGCUAACUUCGUG